GCAUAACGCGAAGAACCUUACCUACUCUUGACAUCCAGAGAACUUAGCAGAGAUGCUUUGGUGCCUUCGGGAACUCUGAGACAGGUGCUGCAUGGCUGUCGUCAGCUCGUGUUGUGAAAUGUUGGGUUAAGUCCCGCAACGAGCGCAACCCUUAUCCUUUGUUGCCAGUGGUUAGGCCGGGAACUCAAAGGAGACUGCCAGUGAUAAACUGGAGGAAGGUGGGGAUGACGUCAAGUCAUCAUGGCCCUUACGAGUAGGGCUACACACGUGCUACAAUGGCGCAUACAAAGAGAAGCGACCUCGCGAGAGCAAGCGGACCUCAUAAAGUGCGUCGUAGUCCGGAUUGGAGUCUGCAACUCGACUCCAUGAAGUCGGAAUCGCUAGUAAUCGUAGAUCAGAAUGCUACGGUGAAUACGUUCCCGGGUCUUGUACACACCG
Molecule: ribosomal RNA, 438 nt
Filed under: uncultured bacterium
Lineage: Bacteria
Description: bacterial SSU rRNA
Rfam family: Bacterial small subunit ribosomal RNA
Source: RNAcentral